GUGCUGAAUCUUGAUAAUUCUAUCAAGUUACAAAUGCGAUAAUUCUAUCGCUAUGCUUUACAAUUAGUGAUAAUUUUAUCACGUCUUGAUCAGUGCUGAAUCUUGAUAAUUCUAUCAAGUUAUAAAUGCGAUAAUUCUAUCGCUAUGCUUCACUAGGGAUAGUGAAUUAAUUAGUGAUAUUGCAAUGGUUUCUUGAUACAUUGUGUAGCUAUAUUUCACUAGUGCACUGUAAUUAUACAGAUUGUUUUAAGAUUUAAACAAUAAUUGGUAUAAAGAACUACCCUAGAGUCAGGUCUAAUGGGUAAUUUUAUCCUAUUGCCUGAUAUGGACUAAUAUUUGGAUGAGUAAAUCAACAAUAAUUUUGCCACAUUAAUCAAAAGCUGAUAAUUUUAUCAGUCAUAGAUAGGUUGAAUUCUUGACAUGAUUUGUAUAAAUUAGGCAUACAUGCUAACAUCCAUUUACAGAGAUGAGUACCGGUAAUAGGCCUACAGACUAUGGGGUGGUUACAAAGCCAGUUAAUUUACAACAAGAGGAAGUCGCAAGUGACACUCCAACAAGCAACAAUCAUUCAAGCCAAUUAGAAGAUGGCAAUUUUACCAAGUAAUUCAGGAAAGAGGACAUUGGCUUAGAAAAACAUUUUCAACCAUGAUGACAGGAGCAUCUGGUUGUAUCAAGAAGUAGUAAAGUUUUGACGUAAUUAUGCAUCUAACAAAGUGUGUGUACAAUGCAUAAUAAUAUGGUAUUGUUUACAAGAGUUGAAAUACUUUUUUUGUAUGUUGGUAAUGUGUUAUUUUUCAUUGUUUGUAUCCGGUUUGUAUGAAUUUUAGGGAUACUUCUAUUGUAGUAAGAUUAAGACUCGCACUAGGGUUGGGUGGGGAUUACUGCUGAUGACAGUUCAGAUCUGCCUGUCAUUGGCAGUAAGUGGCAUUUUUACCUUACCCCACCUUUGAUGUAAAAAUUUUAUACAGUAAUGUUUUGAUCUAUUUCGAAGUUGCAUGUAGUGAUAUUGGUAUCACUGCAAGGUUUAUAAAUGUAAAUCUAUCAAACUACAUUUUCAUUUUUGUAAUAGUUUUACAAAAUUGUCAUUUGGUAAUAAAUGACCUUUUUCAACUUCAAACGGUGUUGUGUUGGUAUCAGAUAGUAUAAUAUUACAUCAAACAGAGCAACCUUUAGUGCGAGUAUCAGGAAGAUGGGCAUAAAUGCUAUUUAUGUUCAUAAAUAAUUUUAUGCCCAUUUCUUGUGUAUUGAAAGUGGGACAAGCGAGAUAACUCUAAUACUUUUGUUCGGUCUUGUUUUUGGAACAGCCUCAGUAUAUGAUUGAGUACAAUCAGUGGCAGCGCCAUAUUUGUAUGGAAAUACAAUUUUAUUUUUGAACAACCCUCCCACCUCUCCCUAAUAGUUAAAAAAUUAUAGUGUUCUUAAUUGAUGUGAAUAAUUUGACAAUAUUUUUCCAUAUUUCUUUUUUCAGUAGGUAAGGCAUUUUUACCUUACCCCACCUUUGAUGUAAAAAUUUUAUACAGUAAUGUUUUGAUCUAUUUCGAAGUUGCAUGUAGUGAUAUUGGUAUCACUGCAAGGUUUAUAAAUGUAAAUCUAUCAAACUACAUUUUCAUUUUUGUAAUAGUUUUACAAAAUUGUCAUUUGGUAAUAAAUGACCUUUUUCAACUUCAAA
This is a long non-coding RNA of Saccostrea cuccullata (small rock oyster), 1669 nucleotides long. RefSeq lists it as uncharacterized. The transcript has 2 exons. The record is from RefSeq and is a predicted model, not a curated record. NCBI's taxonomy places the organism in Eukaryota, Metazoa, Mollusca, Bivalvia, Ostreida, Ostreidae.